Molecule: unclassified non-coding RNA, 447 nt
Filed under: Hevea brasiliensis (rubber tree)
Lineage: Eukaryota; Viridiplantae; Streptophyta; Magnoliopsida; Malpighiales; Euphorbiaceae
Source: RNAcentral
CUCUCUCUCUCUCUCUCUCUCUCUCUGAAGGACCUUCCUUCCUUCUGUAUUGUUUUUGUUGUCGCUCGCUAGAUGUUAGAGCUGUUCUGUAGUUGCAAUCUUCUGUUCGUUUCCCGAGAAAGUUGAAAGCUUAUAGGGAAGGGAAAACGAGAAAAGAUAUACUAUUGAGUCCUCCAGUUUUUAAAAGUCUUGGAAUUUGUUCUUGGAGCAGAAGUGGGAAAUGGUUAACAGGUAUGGAGUGUUUUGAUUUGCAUAGAAUAUCAUGUUGCAGUGCAUAGAGGGAUUCAUUACUUCCCUACUGCGGUGUUGUGAUCUUGAUUUAUAUAAACAAUCAAGAGGCCUUGAAGACCCUGAACGUCUUGCCAGGGAGACUGUGUUUAGUGUGAGUGAAAUAGAGGCACUGUAUGAGCUCUUUAAGAAGAUCAGCAGCGCCGUGAUUGAUGACGG